Molecule: unclassified non-coding RNA, 234 nt
Filed under: Hevea brasiliensis (rubber tree)
Lineage: Eukaryota; Viridiplantae; Streptophyta; Magnoliopsida; Malpighiales; Euphorbiaceae
Source: RNAcentral
CUGUUCUGUUGCACACCGGGAGAUACAUAUAUGACUGAUGGUGUGACGGCCCGAGGUACUUGAUACCCAGUGUCAAUUUACCCGUUUAUCCAGUCCAGUCGUCCAGUAUAGGUUACUUGGGCAACUAAAAAUGGAAGUGGAUAAAUUUAAUGAAAUUAUGAAUAUAACAAAUACAAAAUAAAUAAUAUUACCAAUAAUGAUCGAAAAAUUAUCUGCAUAAGACAUCGGGACAUG